This is a long non-coding RNA of Drosophila arizonae, 200 nucleotides long. The record is from RefSeq and is a predicted model, not a curated record. Lineage: Eukaryota; Metazoa; Arthropoda; Insecta; Diptera; Drosophilidae.
UUCAAUUUAUGUCUGCUUUAGGAAUAUUCAUCAAGUCUUUAGUCUUUUAUAACAAUUAGACCACUUACUAUGAUUUACUUUAACAAAAUAACAACAUUCAAUUAAUGAUACUGUUUAAAAAUUGCCCCAUUCAAAUUGAUUAUCUUCAUAUACAUAUAUGUAUAUACGCUCUGAUUUUAUAAUUAGCCUAAAUGUCUUAU